Molecule: long non-coding RNA, 1794 nt
Organism: Nycticebus coucang (slow loris)
Lineage: Eukaryota; Metazoa; Chordata; Mammalia; Primates; Lorisidae
Exons: 3
Source: RefSeq, a predicted model, not a curated record
AAAGGAGUAGGGCGCUGGCCUAUAUACCGGAGGUGGUGGGUUCAAACCCUGGCCAAAAACUGCAAAAAAGGAAAAAGAAGAAAAGAUAAGAGUCUCACUCUGUUGCCCCAGGCUACAGUGCCAAGGCUGACCCUUGCUCACAGUAACCUCAAACUCCUGAGCUCAAGCGAUCCUCCAGCCUCAGUUUCCCAGUAGCUGGGACUACAGGUGCCCCCAACCACACCCGGCUGUAGGAAACUGAGUCUUAGGGGUCAUCCAUGGAUCAGCCUUGGCUCUAUCACCCGAAGGCUCAUGAGAAUGGCGGCAUCCUGGGCUCUACCCAGGUCCUACUGAAUCACAGCCUGCAUUGAAAGAAGAUUCCCAGGUGACUGGACAUACAUUACAGUUUGAGAAGCACUAAACUAAAAAAAAAAUGGGCUUAGAAAACUCUUGGCAAGAAAUAUGUGUAAGACCUGUAUGAGGAAAACCACACAACUUCCUAGAGAGACAUCACAUAACAUGUUCCUAGAUGAAAAGACUCAGUAAAGUGAAGAUGUCAAUUCUCACUAAUGUGGAAUAGGUCAAAGUGUUUUGCUUCUAUUAUCAUUUUUUGUUUUGUGCGUCUGUGAGACAGAGUCUCACUCUGUUGCCUAGAGUGAGACCUAGGCUAGAACACAGUGGCAUCAUCAUAGCUCACAGCAACCUCAAACUCCUGGGUUCAAUCCUCCAGCCUCAGCCUCCCAAGUAGCUGGGACUACAGGUGCCUCUCUCACACCCCCCACUAAUUUUUUCUACUUUUAGUAGAAAGAGGGUCUCACUCUUUUUUUUUUUUUUUUUGAGACACAGUCUCACUUUGUUGCCCCUAGUAGAGUGCCAUGGUGUCACAGCUCAUAGCAACCUCAGACUCCUGGGCUCAAGUGAUUCUCUUGCCUCAGCCUCCCAAAGAGCUGGGAUUAUAGGCACCUGCUACAGCGCCCAGCUAUUUUGAGACAUGGGGGUCUCGCUGUAGCUUGGGCUGGUCUCGAAUUCAUGAGCUCAGGCAAUCCACCCACCUCAGCCUCCCAAAGUGCUGGGAUUACAGGUGUGAGCCACCGCCCAGCCAGAGGGUCUCACUCUUGCUCCAGCUGAUCUUGAACUCCAAAAUGGAAGUGAUCCUCCUUCCUUGGCCUCUCAGAGUGCUAGGAUUACAGGUGUGAGCCAUCUGCCCCAGCCUCCUGUCGUAUUUUUUUAAAUUGAUAUGUAUAGUUGUAUAAAUUUGAAGGUUAAUUAACGUGUGGAUCAAAGUGAUUUUUGAGGCUUGUCUGAAAGAAUAAAUGAACAAAAAUAACUUUUUUUAGAAAAUAAAAAUAAUGAGAUGGUAUUUGCCCUACCGUAAAUGGUAUUACAAUUUUGCAAAGUUCUUCAGUGUUUGACUUGAUAGAAGACAGUUGGAUUAUUACAUUUACUUCUUCAUUCAAUCUACUUUGAUAGGUUGUUUUGUGUGAAGUGGAAAUAUAGUUGGAAAAGAGAAGACUGUUAAAAUAGCCUUUUCAGAAAAUUGUGGCUAUUCUUUGAUAUAACACUAGAACUCCACAAGUGGUAUUUUAUUAAAGAUUAGCGGCAAUGUGGCAUCUAAAACUUUAUCAAUAAACUUUUCUUGUACUUUCACUUUCAAACUAAAUAAAAAAUUAUGAGGCUGAAAUUACUUUUCAAAAAUAUCUGUACUUUAUUUAUUUAUUUUUUUUUUUUUUUGUGGUUUUUGGCCGGGGCUGGGUUUGAACCCGCCACCUCCGGCUAUGUACUUUUUUUUAAAACAAGGAAAAUAAAUGGUGCUGA